This 916-nucleotide ribosomal RNA is filed under the name uncultured archaeon. RNAcentral describes it as "bacterial SSU rRNA". It matches the Rfam family "Archaeal small subunit ribosomal RNA", at positions 33 to 924 of the family's 1478-position model. The record is from RNAcentral.
UCGGGAUGGGGCUAAGACAUGCUAGUUUUGCGUCUUCAAGCUAUGAUAAAGACGCGGCGUACAGCUCAGUAACACGUGGCUAACCUGCCCUUGAGACAAGUAUAACCCCGGGAAACUGGGGAUAAUCCUUGAUAGAUAAGGAAUUCUGGAAUGGAUCUUUGUCUAAAGGACGUGUAGAUCAUGCUUCUUCAUGUCGCUCAAGGAUGGGGCCGCGGCCGAUCAGGUUGUUGGUGAGGUAACGGCUCACAAAGCCUAUAACCGGUACGGGCCGUGAAAGCGGAAGCCCGGAGAUGGGCACUGAGACAAGGGCCCAGGCCCUACGGGGCGCAGCAGUCGCGAAAACUCCGCAAUACGCGAAAGCGUGACGGGGCUAUCCCGAGUGCUAUUCGUUGAGAGUAGCUUUUCCUCAGUGUAAAGAGCUGUGGGAAUAAGGAGGGGGCAAGACUGGUGUCAGCCGCCGCGGUAAUACCAGCUCUCCGAGUAGUAGGGACGCUUAUUGGGCCUAAAGCAUCCGUAGCUUGCUGAGUAUGUCCUCCGUUAAAUUCACCGAUUUAAUCGAUGGGCUGCGGGGGAAACUGCUUAGCUAGGAGGCGGGAGAGGCCGACGGUAUUUCCGGGGUAGGGGUGAAAUCCUAUAAUCCCGGGACGACCACCAGUGGCGAAGGCUGUCGGCUAGAACGCGCUCGACGGUGAGGGAUGAAAGCUGGGGGAGCGAACCGGAUUAGAUACCCGGGUAGUCCCAGCUGUAAACGAUGCAGGCUAGGUGUUGGUGUGGCUACGAGCCGCUCCAGUGCCGCAGGGAAGCCGUUAAGCCUGCCGCCUGGGAAGUACGGCCGCAAGGCUGAAACUUAAAGGAAUUGGCGGGGGAGCACCACAAGGGGUGAAGCUUGCGGUUUAAUUGGAUUCAACGCCGGGAA